ACAACACAAGUCAACCUCAAACAAAUCAUCACAAUUGGUCAACACAAUUAAUUGGCAUUUAUUCAAAUUAAAAAUACUAAAAUAAGGCAUUUAAAUUAAAUAUGGUUUGUUAAAUUCCUAAAACCUCAUCAAAACACCAAAGAAAUGGCCAUGGGAUUUAUCAUAGGUCAAACAAGGUCAAAGGACAUUGGAGAAAAAAUUUCAGAAUUUUUAAAGACUUAAAAGUAUUUUUAAACAAUUAAAAAUAAUCACAAAAUCAAUUAAAUCAUGAAAAAUAUUAAUAAUGAUCCAAAA
Molecule: long non-coding RNA, 294 nt
Filed under: Lathyrus oleraceus (garden pea)
Lineage: Eukaryota; Viridiplantae; Streptophyta; Magnoliopsida; Fabales; Fabaceae
Description: Pisum sativum (pea) long non-coding RNA (PSAT_LNC012339)
Source: RNAcentral